RNAcentral lists this ribosomal RNA (253 nucleotides) under uncultured bacterium. RNAcentral's name for it is "partial 16S ribosomal RNA". It matches the Rfam family "Bacterial small subunit ribosomal RNA", at positions 524 to 776 of the family's 1533-position model. The record is from RNAcentral.
UACGUAGGGGCCUAGCGUUGUCCGGAAUUACUGGGCGUAAAGCGCGCGUAGGCGGACCUGCAAGUCGGGGGUGAAAGCCCGAGGCUCAACCUCGGAACUGCCUUCGAUACUGCGGGUCUCGAGUCCGGGAGAGGUGAGUGGAAUUCCUAGUGUAGAGGUGAAAUUCGUAGAUAUUAGGAAGAACACCAGUGGCGAAGGCGGCUCACUGGCCCGGUACUGACGCUGAGGCGCGAAAGCGUGGGGAGCAAACAGG